This 20-nucleotide ribosomal RNA is filed under the name Coursetia glandulosa. Its description in RNAcentral is "partial large subunit ribosomal RNA". Lineage: Eukaryota; Viridiplantae; Streptophyta; Magnoliopsida; Fabales; Fabaceae. The record is from RNAcentral.
GGAGACCUCAGCUCAGGCGG